RNAcentral lists this ribosomal RNA (460 nucleotides) under uncultured bacterium. RNAcentral's name for it is "bacterial SSU rRNA". It matches the Rfam family "Bacterial small subunit ribosomal RNA", at positions 28 to 507 of the family's 1533-position model. The record is from RNAcentral.
GAUUAACGCUGGCGGCGUGCAUAACACAUUCAAGUCGAACGGUGAAGGGACUUCGGUCCCGGAUCAGUGGCGGACGGGUGAGUAACGCGUGAGCAACCUGCCCUUGUGUGGGGGAUAACGUUUGGAAACGGACGCUAAUACCGCAUAACCAGGUAGUACCGCAUGGUACAGCCUGCAAAGAUUUAUUGCACAAGGAUGGGCUCGCGUCUGAUUAGGUAGUUGGUGGGGUAACGGCCUACCAAGCCGACGAUCAGUAGCCGGACUGAGAGGUUGAACGGCCACAUUGGAACUGAGAUACGGUCCAGACUCCUACGGGAGGCAGCAGUGGGGAAUAUUGGGCAAUGGGGGAAACCCUGAUGCAGCGACGCCGCGUGAGUGAAGAAGUAUUUCGGUAUGUAAAGCUCUAUCAGCAGGGAAGAAAAUGACGGUACCUGACUAAGAAGCCCCGGCUAACUACGUG